CUGGCACGGCCAGCUGUGCCAUUCCUGUGGCCACGUGGCUGGUGGCCAGACCCGGGCUGGGAGAGAGCUGAGGACUGUUUCCUGGGAAGCCUUGCCCAGUGUCCCCCCACUGCCUUCCCCGUGCAGCUGCUGGGCAAGUCAUCCGCCUGGGCACCGGGGCCUUGCUUGGCGCUGGCGGACACGGAUCCUCCUGGCGGCUCUGGCAGCUUGGACAGGUUCCACGGAGGAAACUGAGGCAGAACCUCACCUGGUCCUGCCAUCCGGUGACUUCGGCGUCUCUACGUCAGAGAGGGAGCUUGUGGGAUCUCCGCCCCCUUCCAAGAUACUGUUCAUUCUUCUUCUUUCUCACAGGGAUGAGUAUUAGUGAAAACGGAUUCUCUUCCGCGAAAGUCACCUCACGUGGCUGCACUCUGGGAAGCUGGCAGGGUUUGCCUCUGACACCACAUUGUCUGUUUUUCUCUUCCGCCCCCCCUCCCAGUUUUAAAAACCACAUUCAUUACUUUUAUUUUCCUUUUCGCUUUAUUUUUCAGUGUGCAUUACGCAAACGUUAAAGAGCAUUAACAAAAUUCUAAGUAAAAGGCGAGAAGAACCACCCACAACUCUGCCACCACCGGCCACACUGCGUCACUUUGCCGGGCCCUGCCCCGCGCAGAGCCACACGCCCAUUCCUCGGGUGAAUACGAUGUAAUCGAUGUGACCAUUUUCCUACAUGUGAUCAAUACCAAUGGCUCCAGCUUCUUGCCGUCGUGGGAAAGCACUCUGCUUUCCCCUGUGGGACCAAUUCCUCGUGAUGAAUCCCUAAGAGUUUCCUCUCGAUUUUGCUUUGGAUCCAGAGGGGCCAGAGAUCUCGGGGAGCUGGGCAUCUCUUUGAUCCUACUGGAAUCUGUCUGAUCUUCAGACUCACCAGGGAACUUUGACAAGAUACUGCCGCCUGGGCCUCCUUGCAGACCCACUGAACUGAAAUUUCUCAGGUGAGUGCAGAAAUGCCCUUGACUCACUCAAUAAGCAGUUGUGGACGAUAACUGUCUUCAUGAGCUCGUGCUUCACUCCUUCACAUAAGGCAAGACCCUUGUCCCUUGACAUGCGUGAGUACCUUUCCCUCUGCUGCUUGGCUGGGGGCUUAGGGGGGCUUUCAUGAGCCUGGGAUCAUGCCCUUCUUGUUGUUCCCAAGCAGAAAAACAUCCCUUGAAAACUGUCUCCCAGAAACAGGAGGGUGAGGGGAGGCAGGAAACCGUCCCACGUGGCAAUCACCUGGGAAGGGAGGGGUGGGUGCAGCUGAAGCAACAGGGAGCUGGGCGGAGGCAUCCUGAAUCCUGGAGUGGGAAGCACAGUGAUGGGGAGUGAGUCUGGGCCCUGCGGGUGUCUAGGGGGCAGCCUGGCAGGACCUCUGCACCCCUUAAAUGUUCUUGUCCACUCUGGUGGACCCACGCCGACCAAACGUCCCUGCAUGCAGGCCUGAGGGCCACAGAGCAGAGGAGGAUUCUGGAUUUCCCCCUUCACUCAGCCGUAUCCUGGCCUCCAGCACAGAGCCUGGCCCUGUCCAUCAAUCCUCGCUGAAUAUUAAAAGCCAGCAUUCACUGAAGUGUUUACAGUGAUUUGAGGACUGUGCUGACCAUUCUACUUGUACUGUCUCAUGUGAUCUGUGCAACAACCCGGAGGAUAGACACUGUUCCUCUUCCCAUUUAGGGAUGAAGCUGAGACAGACUGAGAUCAGGUCAUUUGUGCAAGUCCUCACUGCUGGGAAGGGAAGAGAAGAGCGGGGCUCAGAACCCGGGCCAUGGCCUAGCUUCUGGGCUUCCCGGCUCAGUGGUCCUGCCUUUGCUCUGUCGUGGCUGUGUGGCUGACAGGUUUUGUUCCAAGAGCCAGCCCCUACUCUAAGAAAUGUCACGAAUCACAUAGGCUUUUGUGAGUGUCCUUAGAGCCUGACCUUGAUGUAUGACACUGUCCCUAUGGAAAAAUGUCCCCAUCUUAGGAAAUGUAGUGAAGCCUGGCCAAAGGAAAUGAAGGCUCCAGCACAACUUGGGGUUCUCAGUGUCCUAAACACUCUCCUCUUGGAUGACAUUCCCAAGAAAUGAAGCCAAGAUGAGGUUUGAUCAAACACUCUGCCGAUUCUUAGAACAUCUGCCCUCCAUCCUCUCCCUUCUCUCUCCUUGAACUGGUUUUAGGGGCAACUCAGAAGUCAGACUAAUUCUGGUUAAGAUCUGGGUGCAGUGGGUCAGAGGUCAAAGGGAGGCUUCUCCGCUGCCAGCCCCAGCAUCUGUGCUAUUUCCUGAGUGAUCCAGCCAACUUUGGGGCUGAGCUUCCUCCAGCUGGCCUCUUAAACCCUUCUAGUGGGGCUCCAGAUCCUCCCAGGGGCGCUGGAUCCAGCC
This is a long non-coding RNA of Equus caballus (horse), 2369 nucleotides long. The record is from Ensembl. Lineage: Eukaryota; Metazoa; Chordata; Mammalia; Perissodactyla; Equidae.